This 433-nucleotide ribosomal RNA is filed under the name uncultured bacterium. RNAcentral's name for it is "partial 16S ribosomal RNA". It matches the Rfam family "Bacterial small subunit ribosomal RNA", at positions 29 to 507 of the family's 1533-position model. The record is from RNAcentral.
AACGAACGCUGGCGGCAUGCCUAACACAUGCAAGUCGAACGAGACCUUCGGGUCUAGUGGCGCACGGGUGCGUAACGCGUGGGAACCUGCCCUUAGGUUCGGAAUCACUCCCCGAAAGGGGUGCUAAUACCGGAUAAUGUCUUCGGACCAAAGAUUUAUCGCCUUUGGAUGGGCCCGCGUUGGAUUAGCUAGUUGGUAGGGUAAAAGCCUACCAAGGCGACGAUCCAUAGCUGGUCUGAGAGGAGGACAAGCCACACUGGGACUGAGACACGGCCCAGAAUCCUACGGGAGGCAGCAGUGGGGAAUAUUGGACAAUGGGCGAAAGCCUGAUCAAGCAAUGCCGCGUGAGUGAUGAAGGCCUUAGGGUUGUAAAGCUCUUUUACCCGGGAUGAUAAUGACAGUACCGGGAGAAUAAGCGCCGGCUAACUACGUG